Molecule: ribosomal RNA, 349 nt
Filed under: Sphendononema guildingii
Lineage: Eukaryota; Metazoa; Arthropoda; Chilopoda; Scutigeromorpha; Pselliodidae
Description: partial 12S ribosomal RNA
Source: RNAcentral
UUAUAAAAAUAAAAAUUUUAUUUAAGUAGUAAUAGAGUACUUGAAACUUAAAGAAUUUGGCGGUAUAUUAAUCUUAUUAGAGGAGCUUGUCCUGUAAUCGAUAAUCCACGUUAAUUUUACCUUAAUUUGUAUUGACAAUUUGUAUAUCGCUGUCGAAAGAUUAUUUUUUAAGAAAUUUUUCUUUACUAAUUUUUUAUGGAUGACAAGUCAGGGUGCAGUUUAUAUUAAGGUUUGAGAUGGGCUACAAUAAUUGUUAUUAUACGGAUAUAAUUAUGUAAUUGAUUAUUUAAGGUGGAUUUAAUUGUAAUAUAAAUUUAAUUUAUUUGUUUGAAAUAGUACUAAUAUAUGU